RNAcentral lists this ribosomal RNA (497 nucleotides) under uncultured bacterium. RNAcentral describes it as "partial 16S ribosomal RNA". It matches the Rfam family "Bacterial small subunit ribosomal RNA", at positions 28 to 507 of the family's 1533-position model. The record is from RNAcentral.
GAUGAACGCUGGCGGCGUGCCUAAUACAUGCAAGUCGAGCGAACAGAUAAGGAGCUUGCUCCUUUGACGUUAGCGGCGGACGGGUGAGUAACACGUGGGUAACCUACCUAUAAGACUGGAAUAACUCCGGGAAACCGGGGCUAAUGCCGGAUAACAUUUAGAACCGCAUGGUUCUAAAGUGAAAGAUGGUUUCGCUAUCACUUAUAGAUGGACCCGCGCCGUAUUAGCUAGUUGGUAAGGUAACGGCUUACCAAGGCAACGAUACGUAGCCGACCUGAGAGGGUGAUCGGCCACACUGGAACUGAGACACGGUCCAGACUCCUACGGGAGGCAGCAGUAGGGAAUCUUCCGCAAAGGGCGAAAGCCUGACGGAGCAACGCCGCGUGAGUGAUGAAGGUCUUCGGAUCGUAAAACUCUGUUAUUAGGGAAGAACAAAUGUGUAAGUAACUGUGCACGUCUUGACGGUACCUAAUCAGAAAGCCACGGCUAACUACGUG